Molecule: long non-coding RNA, 377 nt
Filed under: Rattus norvegicus (Norway rat)
Lineage: Eukaryota; Metazoa; Chordata; Mammalia; Rodentia; Muridae
Description: long non-coding RNA NONRATT030495
Source: RNAcentral
GAGAACAAAGAACAAGGCAGCAGCCUGCAGAAUGAGGAGAUCCCUGUGUCCCUCAUUGAUGCUGUGCCCACCAGUGCAGAGGGCAAGUGUGAGAAGGGACUGGACCCUACCGUCGUUUCCACACUAGAAGCCCUAGAAGCUCUUUCAGAAGAACAGCAGAAGAGUGAAAAUUCAGGUUCUUUCACCAUUGUUACAUUUAUUCACUGAUAACCAUUGUCAUCUUAUCCUUUUGAGUCAUUUGUCUGUGAAGUCCUGUUAUAUGUUGUUUCCAUUUCAUACAUGCCCCAUUUCAUAAAUGUGCUGAAUUAACAUCAUGGAGGGUUUUGGUAGGUGGUUUCCUUUGUUGCUAGCUUAAAAAAAUGACAUCCCUCCCCCCU